AGGCUUAAUACAUGCAAGUCGAACGGAAACAGGCGGUAGCAAUACUUGCGCUGUCGAGUGGCGCACGGGUGCGUAACACGUAUGCAACCUACCCUUAACUGGGGAAUAACCCUGUGAAAGCGGGGCUAAUACCCCAUAACAUUAUGGUAAGGCAUCUUACUAUUAUCAAAGAUUAAUCGGUUAGGGAUGGGCAUGCGCCCCAUUAGUUAGUUGGUUAGGUAACGGCUAACCAAGACUGUGAUGGGUAGGGGUUCUGAGAGGAUUAUCCCCCACACUGGUACUGAGACACGGACCAGACUCCUACGGGAGGCAGCAGUAAGGAAUAUUGGGCAAUGGACGCAAGUCUGACCCAGCCAUGCCGCGUGCAGGAUGACGGCCUUAUGGGUUGUAAACUGCUUUUGUAUGGGAUUAAAGUGUUGUACGUGUACGACAUUGCAAGUACCACACGAAUAAGCAUCGGCUAACUCCGUGCCAGCAGCCGCGGUAAUACGGAGGAUGCAAGCGUUAUCCGGAAUCAUUGGGUUUAAAGGGUGCGUAGGUUGAUUAUUAAGUCAGUGGUGAAAAUUCCGGGCUCAACCCGGGACUUGCCGUUGAAACUGAUAAUCUUGAGUGUAACUGAUGUGGGCGGAAUGUGUCAAGUAGCGGUGAAAUGCAUAGAUAUGACAUAGAACACCGAUAGCGAAGGCAGCUCACAAAAUUACAACUGACACUGAGGCACGAAAGCGUGGGUAUCAAACAGGAUUAGAUACCCUGGUAGUCCACGCUGUAAACGAUGAUCACUAGCUGUUUGCGAUACAUUGUAAGUGGUUAAGCGAAAGCGAUAAGUGAUCCACCUGGGGAGUACGUCGGCAACGAUG
RNAcentral lists this ribosomal RNA (857 nucleotides) under uncultured organism. Its description in RNAcentral is "bacterial SSU rRNA". It matches the Rfam family "Bacterial small subunit ribosomal RNA", at positions 44 to 896 of the family's 1533-position model. The record is from RNAcentral.